AACGAACGCUGGCGGCAGGCUUAACACAUGCAAGUCGAACGCCCACCUUCGGGUGGGAGUGGCAGACGGGUGAGGAACGCGUGGGAACGUACCCUUCGGUUCGGAAUAACCCAGGGAAACCUGGGCUAAUACCGGAUGCGCCCACCUUCGGGUGGGGAAAGGUUCACUGCCGAAGGAUCGGCCCGCGUCGGAUUAGCUGGACGGUGGGGUAACGGCCUACCGUGGCGACGAUCCGUAGCUGGUCUGAGAGGAUGAUCAGCCACACUGGGACUGAGACACGGCCCAGACUCCUACGGGAGGCAGCAGUGGGGAAUAUUGGUCAAUGGGCGCAAGCCUGAACCAGCCAUGCCGCGUGAGUGAAGAAGGCCUUAGGGUUGUAAAGCUCUUUCAGCGGGGACGAUAAUGACGGUACCCGCAGAAGAAGCCCCGGCUAACUUCGUGCCAGCCGCCGCGGUAACAC
This 460-nucleotide ribosomal RNA is filed under the name uncultured bacterium. RNAcentral describes it as "bacterial SSU rRNA". It matches the Rfam family "Bacterial small subunit ribosomal RNA", at positions 28 to 526 of the family's 1533-position model. The record is from RNAcentral.